CAGCCAGUUAGAGGGGCAGAGACGCUGCAGUUUUAAGCCACAGAACAAGUCUAGCCUGAGUGUAGGGUUUCUGAUGGUGAGUUACAAUGGCUAUGCAUACACUCAAAUCGAGUUCUUUAUUAUAGGGUACCUAUAAAUGUGUACAUCACAUUUGUACCCCUAAAAGUCCUGCCCUUUAGUUCAGUGGAUUCUGGAUUCUGAGGAUACUCUUGGUCCUUUCCAGAGAUGAAGGCAGGCAGGGGUCAGGGCCCACAGAAGGGAAUCCCUAUAUUCUUGGGGUUGUCUGAGCCAGGGCUCAUGCCUGUCUGGUGCUUUCAACCAAACCUCUCUCAUGGGCUCUGUAAAAGGAACAAUCAGGCCAUUCUGAAUCCCCCAGAUCUUGUACCUACCUUUUAGAAUUGUCUUGAGAGUGUGUGUGCUGAUUCUCCUAAAGUACUUCGUGUGGUUCCUGACCUAUAAUAAGUGCUUCAUAAAUCUUAGUCAUUAUUGUUAAAAUCCCAAAGAGUGGUUUUGCUCGAGUCUGAAUCCAAAAAGGAAGCUCCAGGUAAGAGGAGAAACUAGAGAACAGGACACAGAAACCAUCCUGUGUUUUUUCUAUCCUGUGAAACCAUCACCAUGACACUGGCCUUCCCUCUCAGUGUGGCCUCAUCCUCCAUGUCCCUCCCUGUAGUCCCCUUAACUGUGAAGUGUCCAGCCUCUCCAGCACUUACUCCCAGGCCCAGCUCCACUUCAGGCAGGCCUGCUGGGGCUCAGAAUAGCCCAGCUGCUGUCUCAGCAGAUGGCCAGGCUAAUUUUAGCCAUGUGGUACUCACCCAGGGACCAGGCUGGGCUUUUUAGAUUUGAAUAAGCCAGUGUGCAACUUUGGUUUAGAGCCAAUAACAAAGUUUGGAGCUGUUGUGAUCUCUGUGUCUGCCUAGCACUUUAUAAGAUUCCAGAAAUAUAAUUUUAAAGGAUUUUGUUUCUGUGAACCAACAAGAACCCAAGCUAUGGAGCCAGCAGGCAGUCAAGCCAGCAGGGUAUUGAUGGAGGGUGGUGAGAAGCAGAUGGUGGCACCAGCUCCUGCCUCUUCUCCCUGAUGACAAGCGGGUGGCAGGGCCUCAGUAUCCCGGGUGCACUGUGCUCUCACUGCUCUCCUGGCCAAAGUGAAAGAAGGCAGCAGCCAACUCAGCCUCCUGGAUCAUCCUCUGAACCACUCGUGGGUGGCAGGCUGCAUCUUCAUGCUGUGGAACAACUGUGGUCCGGAAGAAGUCAGCCAGAUGCCAGCAAGAACCUACUCUGGCACUUUCAUGUGCAGUCCCUCGAGACAACCUAAUGUGAAGUAGGCAGAUGUGGAAACAGGCUCAGAGAGGUAAGAGGUCCCAAGAGAGGCUGAGAUUGAGCCAGGUUGAGAACGUGUCUUUUCCAUUGUGAUGUUUCUACCUUAUUGUUCUUCAUAUGUGAAGACUGCCUUUCAUCCCAGUUCUUCCAGAGAGUUCAGAGACAACACACAGUGACUCGGAAAGCCACAUUCCAGCCUGCCUUCACCUUUCCAUGAUUAAUUUCUAGUUGCAGAAGCAAGUUGACCAGAGAAGACAGUAGAAUGAGGAGACCAGACUAGUCAUGCUUCCUAAACUGGGUCCAUGAACUCUUAAAAGUUGGUUUGGGUGGUCUUUGGGGAAUCUGUUUGUCAGUUGAGCUGCUUUCAGCUUAAAAAAUAAAAAGGAAAGCCACAUUUCAAGAAGUGGGAGCCAGACACUGUGGCUCACACCCGUAAUCCCAACUCUCGGGAAGGCCAAGGCAGGAGGAUCUCCAGAGGCCAGGAGUUUUAAGACCAGCCCAGCAGCAUAAUGAAACCCUGUCUCUACAAAAAAUUUAAAAACUUGGCCAGGCAUGGUGGCUUGUGCCUGUAGUCCCAGCUGCUAGGGAGGCUGUGGUCGGAGGAUCACAAUCACUUGAGCCCCGGGGUUCCGGCCUGCAGUGAACUGUGAUCACAUCACAUCGCUGCACCAGUCUGGACGACAGCGAGACCUGACUCUAAAAAAACAAGGUUGGGUGCGGUGGCUCAUGCCUGUAAUCCCAGUACUUCGGGAGGCUGAAGUGGGAGGAUCACCUGAGGUCAGGAGUUGGAGACCAGCCUGGCCAACAUAGUGAAACCCCAUCUCUAGUAAAAAUACAAAAAUUUAGCCAGGCAGAGUGGCACGUGCCUGUAGUCCCCGCUACUUGAGAGGCUGAGGUGGGAGAAUUGCUUGAACCCAGGAGGCAGAGGUUGCAGAGAGCUGAGAUGGCGCCACUGUGCUCCAGCCUGGGUGAGGCAACAUAGUGAGAUUCUGUCUCAAUUUUUUUUUAAUAAAAAUUUUUAAAAAUUGAUGUUUGCAGCGUUGGUUAAUUCUGCUUCUCUGUUUCUCUUGGCUUUUCAUGGUUGCCAGAUGGCAGUUGGACACCUAGCACCACCAUCCAGAGGCAGGAAAGGAGAGUUACCCCCUCAUCUUUUACCAGAGAGAAAAACUUUUCUCCAUUGUUCCCAAUAGUCCUGUCUUCUCAUCUCAUUGCCUAGGGGUUGGGGCACAUGCCUGUGCCCCACAGCUGCAGGAAGGCUGGAGUUAGAGUAUCAGGCACGGUGCAGGAUGUCAGCAAGGACAAAGGGAGUGAAGAAUGUGGCCUGAGAGCGUGUCAUGCCCUAGAAAUUGUGCACAGAAGCUGAGACACGGGCACUUUUGUGGGUAGUGGGUCCAUAAGCCCAUCAGAUUCUCAGCGGCCCUUGAGCUCAAGGUCUUUAGAACUUCAGGUGCAGAUCAUCACUAAGGUUCCCUCAGCUGCUUAAUGUUCUUU
RNAcentral lists this long non-coding RNA (2808 nucleotides) under Homo sapiens (human). RNAcentral describes it as "HSALNT0023094". Lineage: Eukaryota; Metazoa; Chordata; Mammalia; Primates; Hominidae. The record is from RNAcentral.